Molecule: long non-coding RNA, 434 nt
Filed under: Vigna radiata
Lineage: Eukaryota; Viridiplantae; Streptophyta; Magnoliopsida; Fabales; Fabaceae
Description: long non-coding RNA (VRAD_LNC016379)
Source: RNAcentral
GAGAACACGGUCACGUUCAGAGGAGGAGGAAGAGAAAGUGUUGACUAUAGGAGGAGCAUUUGCACGGAUACAGAGUAGAAACAAGGUCACCCUUUUAGAGGUAAGUCAUCUAACUGUAGUUUACUAAGUGGCAUUAUCUGCAUAUAUGGAUUGAUGUUGAUUUUGUGUAUGCGAAAUGGUUUUUCUUUUACGCUACUUUCCUUCGUUUCUCGUGUUGCAUAUUAUCUUCAUUGUCCAAAUCCUUUCAUUGUCUGAAUCUCUCAUUGCCGUCGCGUUGAAAUCGUCCCCGAUAUCACAAACCUGGCCUCGCCUUCCCCCCACCAUUACCCUAUCUAUCACCGACGUAUCCAAACCUUACCCUUUCGCUUGCGCCCCUCCUCCCCCACUGCUUUUGACCAUAGCCAAUCAUCAACAACAAACUUGAACACCCACCA